CCCGCCCUUAAUCUGAGUGGACACCAUCUAAUCAGCCACCAGCCCAGCUGGAAUAUAAAGCAGGCAGAAAAACGUGAAAAGACUGGCCUAGCCUCCCAGCCUACAUCUUUCUCCCAUGCUGGAUGCUUCCUGCCCUCAAACACUGGACUCCAGGUUCUUGUUUUGGGACUUGGACUGGCUCUCCUUGCUCCUCAGCUUACAGAUGCCUAUUGUAGGACCUUGUGAUAGUAAAGGAGAUGUGUGUAUGAGUUCUGCAGAAGUCCACCAAAUGUGGGCCAGGGUUAUUUCCCUGGUGAUGCUCUGAAGCUUUUGCCAAAGGACAAAUGGAAACAGGAAGUACAAUCAUGCACUGGGGUAAAGAAGAUUCAUCUGCUCUUAGCUACCUACCAUGCCAACACUCCUGAGAAAGCUCACAGAGGCCCAUGAUGCCCACCUGGAUCUGAGGACCUAGAAAGCCACAACAGGCAACCAUAAUCUGGGUCUUCCCUCAGCCAACUCCCCUGCAUAAAGUGAAUGAAUGAAAAACCCAUCUUAUAUUAAUCAGAGUUCUCUAGAGAAAAAGAACCAAUCAGAUGUGUAUAUAUAGAAAGAGAGAAUUAUUUUAGGGAAUUAGCUCACAUCAUUAUGCAGGCUGGUCAAUCAAAAAUCUGUGGAGUGGGCUAGCAGGCUGGAGACCCAGGGAAAGGCUAAAUUGCAGUUUAGAUCAGAAGGUCAUCUACUGGCAGAAUUCCCUCAUCUUCCAGGAAGGUGGAUCUUUUUCUACCAAGGCCUUCAGUUUAUUAGAUUAGGCCCAUGAACAUGCUGGAGGGUAAUCUGCUUUACUCAAUACAUACUGAUUUGAAUGUUAGUAUCAUCAAAAAGACCUUCACAGAAACAUCUAAAAUAAUGUUUGACCAAAUGUCUGCAUACCAUGGCCAAGCCAAGUUUACACAUAAAAUUAAUUAUCACACAUCCCACGAACACCAUCCCCAACAGAUGCUCAUGAGCAUUGUGGUUAUGAUUUCAACUUCAGAAUAAGGCAGAAAUGUGUACAAAUCCUGACCCUUUGACUUAUCAGCUCUCUAAAAAUCAUUAUAUGUCAACUUUCUAGACUUUACCUGAAAAACAGAAACCAAGAUACCCACAGCAUAAGAUUGUUAGGAUUGAAGAAAUUGUUACGAUUGUUAGGUAUGAAGAAAUUUAAACAAUGAUGCAGCUGAGAUAUUUAGAAUUGUACCUGGCAUGUACUUUGUAUUAAAUAACUAAUAAGGCCUUUUUCUGGUGAAAACAAAAUAAGCCUGGAUAAAAGAAGAUGAGACCAGAUUGGUUGAUGGCUCGGCCUGGGUGGGCUCCUGGCCCAUCUGAAAUUACAUUACUCUUAUGUAGUGCCUUUUUUGUUAUUGCUAAAAUAAAAUAAAUAAAACACUCUACUUUCAUACUUUGUAAAAUGCACUUCUCAUUCAGUUCCUCUUCCUGUGCCUUUUCCCUAUUGUCUAUCUGCACACAGCUGUUUUCUUCUGCACAUUUUCAUCACAGAGAAUUACCAGGUGUAGGUCAAAAGAUGCCACAGAGAUAACAAAGGAAAGGAAAAGCUUUUCUGCACUUCUAUCCUUGUAAGCACAAAAAUUAAUCACACUUUCAGUAAACAGGUCAGGUAAGUCAGUCCUGCACUUGAACCUUUUCUCCCCAAAUAAAUAGUUGAAAUGGGAAUGUCGAUUUCUGUAUUUGAACAGAAAUGUAUUAGUGUAGCUUUCAAAAGAAGACUACUCUCUCCAUAUGAAUAUCAUCAGACCCACAAAUACACAUAUGCAUACAUUCACAGUUCAUCCUAACGCUGCAGAAUAUUCUAAGAGUAACACAUUUCUGUACAAAUCAAGCAGCAGCUUUCACUUGCAUGCUAAUCUUCAAAUUAAUUCUGCAAUGAUCCAUUCAUUCCACAUCCCAACCUACAUCCUCAGAAAAACAAAGAUGUAAGUAAGGAACUCAGUAUAACAUGUUUGACUUUAGACACUACUCAAAUAUACUCAAACUUUAUAUGAAUAUGGAUAUUGCUCCUAGAUUAGGCAGUUCAGAAAACAAAUCUUGAUUAUUCUUAGUUACAAUGUAGUAUAAAAUAACAACAAUUUCAUGUCAACAACAGAAUCUCCUAAAAGAUCUUAUAAAGAUAAAAAGUCUUAGGUGUUAGUCGUCAAAGACUAAGUUGUAAAUGUAUCAUUGUAUUUGUGUAGUUAAUAAAACCCUAGACAAGAUAUGGGUUCCAGUUCUUGAACCACCACCACCUGUUCACCUUAAAUAAGUCAACUAAC
This 2285-nucleotide long non-coding RNA is filed under the name Homo sapiens (human). Its description in RNAcentral is "HSALNT0192980". The record is from RNAcentral. Lineage: Eukaryota; Metazoa; Chordata; Mammalia; Primates; Hominidae.